RNAcentral lists this ribosomal RNA (1551 nucleotides) under Salmonella enterica. RNAcentral describes it as "bacterial LSU rRNA". It matches the Rfam family "Bacterial large subunit ribosomal RNA", at positions 1278 to 2812 of the family's 2925-position model. RNAcentral also lists the same sequence under 1 other name. The record is from RNAcentral. Lineage: Bacteria; Pseudomonadati; Pseudomonadota; Gammaproteobacteria; Enterobacterales; Enterobacteriaceae.
GGUAUCAGAAGUGCGAAUGCUGACAUAAGUAACGAUAAAGCGGGUGAAAAGCCCGCUCGCCGGAAGACCAAGGGUUCCUGUCCAACGUUAAUCGGGGCAGGGUGAGUCGACCCCUAAGGCGAGGCCGAAAGGCGUAGUCGAUGGGAAACGGGUUAAUAUUCCCGUACUUGGUGUUACUGCGAAGGGGGGACGGAGAAGGCUAUGUUGGCCGGGCGACGGUUGUCCCGGUUUAAGCGUGUAGGUGUGUGUUCCAGGUAAAUCCGGUUCACUUUAACACUGAGGCGUGAUGACGAGGCACUACGGUGCUGAAGCAACAAAUGCCCUGCUUCCAGGAAAAGCCUCUAAGCAUCAGGUAACAUCAAAUCGUACCCCAAACCGACACAGGUGGUCAGGUAGAGAAUACCAAGGCGCUUGAGAGAACUCGGGUGAAGGAACUAGGCAAAAUGGUGCCGUAACUUCGGGAGAAGGCACGCUGACACGUAGGUGAAGUGAUUUACUCAUGGAGCUGAAGUCAGUCGAAGAUACCAGCUGGCUGCAACUGUUUAUUAAAAACACAGCACUGUGCAAACACGAAAGUGGACGUAUACGGUGUGACGCCUGCCCGGUGCCGGAAGGUUAAUUGAUGGGGUCAGCGCAAGCGAAGCUCCUGAUCGAAGCCCCGGUAAACGGCGGCCGUAACUAUAACGGUCCUAAGGUAGCGAAAUUCCUUGUCGGGUAAGUUCCGACCUGCACGAAUGGCGUAAUGAUGGCCAGGCUGUCUCCACCCGAGACUCAGUGAAAUUGAACUCGCUGUGAAGAUGCAGUGUACCCGCGGCAAGACGGAAAGACCCCGUGAACCUUUACUAUAGCUUGACACUGAACAUUGAGCCUUGAUGUGUAGGAUAGGUGGGAGGCUUUGAAGUGUGGACGCCAGUCUGCAUGGAGCCGACCUUGAAAUACCACCCUUUAAUGUUUGAUGUUCUAACGUGGACCCGUGAUCCGGGUUGCGGACAGUGUCUGGUGGGUAGUUUGACUGGGGCGGUCUCCUCCUAAAGAGUAACGGAGGAGCACGAAGGUUGGCUAAUCCUGGUCGGACAUCAGGAGGUUAGUGCAAUGGCAUAAGCCAGCUUGACUGCGAGCGUGACGGCGCGAGCAGGUGCGAAAGCAGGUCAUAGUGAUCCGGUGGUUCUGAAUGGAAGGGCCAUCGCUCAACGGAUAAAAGGUACUCCGGGGAUAACAGGCUGAUACCGCCCAAGAGUUCAUAUCGACGGCGGUGUUUGGCACCUCGAUGUCGGCUCAUCACAUCCUGGGGCUGAAGUAGGUCCCAAGGGUAUGGCUGUUCGCCAUUUAAAGUGGUACGCGAGCUGGGUUUAGAACGUCGUGAGACAGUUCGGUCCCUAUCUGCCGUGGGCGCUGGAGAACUGAGGGGGGCUGCUCCUAGUACGAGAGGACCGGAGUGGACGCAUCACUGGUGUUCGGGUUGUCAUGCCAAUGGCACUGCCCGGUAGCUAAAUGCGGAAGAGAUAAGUGCUGAAAGCAUCUAAGCACGAAACUUGCCCCGAGAUGAGUUCU